This 555-nucleotide ribosomal RNA is filed under the name uncultured archaeon. Its description in RNAcentral is "bacterial SSU rRNA". It matches the Rfam family "Archaeal small subunit ribosomal RNA", at positions 325 to 879 of the family's 1478-position model. The record is from RNAcentral.
ACGGGGAGCAGCAGGCGCGAAACCUUUACACUGCACGCCAGUGCGAUAAGGGGAUUCCGAGUGCGAGGGCAUACAGUCCUCGCUUUUGUGGACCGUAGGAUGGUCCACGAAUAAGGGCUGGGCAAGACCGGUGCCAGCCGCCGCGGUAAUACCGGCAGGCCAAGUGAUGGCCGAUAUUAUUGGGCCUAAAGCGUCCGUAGCCGGCCGGGCUGGUCCGUCGGGAAAUCCACGCGCUCAACGCGUGGGCGUCCGGCGGGUACCGUCCGGCUUGGGACCGGGAGACCUGAGGGGUACGUCCAGGGUAGGAGUGAAAUCCCGUAAUCCUGGACGGACCGCCGGUGGCGAAAGCGCCUCAGGAGAACGGAUCCGACGGUGAGGGACGAAAGCUAGGGUCUCGAACCGGAUUAGAUACCCGGGUAGUCCUAGCCGUAAACGAUGUCCGCUAGGUGUGGCGCAGGCUACGAGCCUGCGCUGUGCCGUAGGGAAGCCGUGAAGCGGACCGCCUGGGAAGUAUGCCCGCAAGGGUGAAACUUAGAGGAAUUGGCGGGGGAGCAC